ACACCGUUUUACAAAUUGCUAGCAUUUUAAGUGAUAAAAUACUUACGCCAGUCACUAGUGAGAAUUUUACGAGGGAGCUGGACAACAGAGAAGAAUAAAUUAGGUGGUAGAUU
Long non-coding RNA from Ipomoea nil (Japanese morning glory), 113 nucleotides. RefSeq lists it as uncharacterized. Lineage: Eukaryota; Viridiplantae; Streptophyta; Magnoliopsida; Solanales; Convolvulaceae. The transcript has 3 exons. The record is from RefSeq and is a predicted model, not a curated record.